UUGACGGGACCCGCACAAGCGGUGGAGCAUGUGGUUUAAUUCGAAGCAACGCGAAGAACCUUACCAAGUCUUGACAUCGGAAUGACCGUCCCCGUAACUGGGGCUUCCCUUCGGGGCAUUCCAGACAGGUGGUGCAUGGUUGUCGUCAGCUCGUGUCGUGAGAUGUUGGGUUAAGUCCCGCAACGAGCGCAACCCUUAUCCUUAGUAGCCAGCAGUUCGGCUGGGCACUCUGGGGAGACUGCCAGGGAUAACCUGGAGGAAGGUGGGGAUGACGUCAAAUCAUCAUGCCCCUUAUGAUUUGGGCUACACACGUGCUACAAUGGCGUAAACAAAGGGAAGCAAAGGAGUGAUCCGGAGCAAAUCUCAAAAAUAACGUCUCAGUUCGGAUUGUAGUCUGCAACUCGACUACAUGAAGCUGGAAUCGCUAGUAAUCGCGGAUCAGAAUGCCGCGGUGAAUACGUUCCCGGGUCUU
This 472-nucleotide ribosomal RNA is filed under the name uncultured Lachnospiraceae bacterium. Its description in RNAcentral is "bacterial SSU rRNA". It matches the Rfam family "Bacterial small subunit ribosomal RNA", at positions 910 to 1382 of the family's 1533-position model. The record is from RNAcentral. Lineage: Bacteria; Bacillati; Bacillota; Clostridia; Lachnospirales; Lachnospiraceae.